CUACGGGCGGCUGCAGUGGGGAAUCUUAGACAAUGGGCGCAAGCCUGAUCUAGCCAUGCCGCGUGAGUGACGAAGGCCUUAGGGUCGUAAAGCUCUUUCGCUGGGGAAGAUAAUGACGGUACCCAGUAAAGAAACCCCGGCUAACUCCGUGCCAGCAGCCGCGGUAAUACGGAGGGGGUUAGCGUUGUUCGGAAUUACUGGGCGUAAAGCGCGCGUAGGCGGAUCAGAAAGUUGGGGGUGAAAUCCCGGGGCUCAACCCCGGAACUGCCUUCAAAACUCCUGGCCUAGAGUUCGAGAGAGGUGAGUGGAAUUCCGAGUGUAGAGGUGAAAUUCGUAGAUAUUCGGAGGAACACCAGUGGCGAAGGCGGCUCACUGGCUCGAUACUGACGCUGAGGUGCGAAAGCGUGGGGAGCAAACAGGAUUAGAUACCCUCGUAGUC
RNAcentral lists this ribosomal RNA (439 nucleotides) under uncultured bacterium. RNAcentral describes it as "partial 16S ribosomal RNA". It matches the Rfam family "Bacterial small subunit ribosomal RNA", at positions 339 to 795 of the family's 1533-position model. The record is from RNAcentral.